RNAcentral lists this ribosomal RNA (882 nucleotides) under Triticum aestivum (bread wheat). RNAcentral's name for it is "partial small subunit ribosomal RNA". The record is from RNAcentral. Lineage: Eukaryota; Viridiplantae; Streptophyta; Magnoliopsida; Poales; Poaceae.
AUGACAAUUAGGCCCGCCCAUCAUGAGGCGGUGAACGUGGUUGCCAAGGCUGUGGUGCGCUCGCGAUCGGGCCUCGAGGAGCCAAACCAGCCGUCAGGAUCGUUCCUCUUCCUCGGCCCCACCGGCGUCGUCAAGACGAAGCUCGCCAAGGCCCUCGCCGAGCAGCUCUUCGGCAAUGAGAAGCUGCUCGUCUGCAUCGACAUGUCCGAGUACAUGGGUAGCAGCUCCGUCACUCGCCUCAUCGGCGCAUCUCCUGGUGUGGUCCUCCCGGAUGAGGUGGAGAAGGCCGACGCCUCCAUGCUCAACGUCUUCCUCCAGAUCCUUGACGACGAGCGCGUUACCGAUGGGCAGGGCCACACCGUCGAUUUCACCAACACCAUCAUCAUCAUGACCUCCAACAUCGGGGCGCACCACCUCGCCCGCGCAGCCAAGGCACUUCCGCCCCGAGCUCAUCAACCGGCUGAGCGAGACGGUGCUCUUCCGCCCGCUCUCCGGCGAGCAGCUGCAGAGGGUGGCGAGGAUGCGGCUCAAAGGCAUCGCAGCGCGCCUCGCCUAGAAGGGCAUCGGCCUCGACAUCACGGACACGGCCCUCGACAUGAUCCUCUCGCGGUCCAGCGACCAGGUGCAGAUGUACGGCAUGAGGCUAGUCAAAUGCUGCCCGCAGAAGAACGUCAUGACCUAUCUAAGAUGGUGGUGCAGGUGGAGGUGGACAACGACUGCUACGUGUCCGACGGCGUCGAUGAGGAGAAGAAGGACCUGGUGUUUGCCGUGGACAAGCAAAGUUCCAAGGAGAACGACGGCCCGUCGUCCUCUUCGACCAAGAAAAUAAAGAGGCCCCCGGCGAAGCAUCUGGUCGUGAUUGAUGAUGACAAAGACGAGUGA